Molecule: ribosomal RNA, 124 nt
Filed under: Faecalibacterium sp. BIOML-A1
Lineage: Bacteria; Bacillati; Bacillota; Clostridia; Eubacteriales; Oscillospiraceae
Description: partial 23S ribosomal RNA
Rfam family: Bacterial large subunit ribosomal RNA
Source: RNAcentral
AUAAGAUAUCCCAUUGUUUCAAACAAGUAAGACCCCUUGAAGACUACAAGGUUGAUAGGCACGAUGUGUAAGUGGAGUGAUCCAUUCAGCAAGCGUGUACUAAUAGGUCGAGGGCUUGACCACA